ACUCAAAAUGACCGCGCCAACCCCAGACAAGGCUUUUCACUGUGAAAGAGGCUGUAUCUACGUUGGUUGGUGAUGUAGAUUCGGAAACGAUCGAAUCGUUUAAAAAGCGAUGAUGUCGAGGGAAGUGGACAAGCAAAUUGCACAGAGAAAUUAAACAAGACCUUCAUACUUCAAGAGGGCAAACCGUCAGAAGAUGAAACAAGACGAAUACGACUAUGACAUCUUCAUCGCCCCAAAGGACGCCAUCUAUUUCAUCCAUGGCCAGGUGACGAUGGCAGAAGGGAAGGGGAAAGUCUACCUGUUUUGGAAACUCAAAAGCAGCCGUAAGAUCAAAACCAACAACGGAACCUGUCCUGAGAUCACCUUCGCUACGGAGGUCAAGUUGUUGAAAGGUGGUCGGGUUUACCUCGUCUUCAACACGGGCAAACCCAAACUGAAAGAGAGCACUUUCUCAGUCUACGAGCUCGUCGAGCAGUGACCGGACUGAAACAGUACAGUCUAUGAGCUCGUCGAGCAGUGACCGGACUGAAACAGUACAGUCUACGAGCUCGUCGAGCAGUGACCGGACUGAAACAGUACAGUCUACGAGCUCGUCGAGCAGUGAUCGGACUGAAACAGUACAGUCUACGAGCUCGUCGAGCAGUGGCCGGACUGAAACAGUACAGUCUACGAGCUCGUCGAGCAGUGACCGGACUGAAACAGUACAGUCUACGAGCUCGUCGAGCAGUGACCGGACUGAAACAAACACGAGCUCGUCGAGCAGUGACCGGACUGAAACAGUACAGUCUACGAGCUCGUCGAGCAGUGACCGGACUGAAACAGUACAGUCUACGAGCUCGUCGAGCAGUGACCGGACUGAAACAGUACAGUCUACGAGCUUGUCGAGCAGUGACCGGACUGAAACAGUACAGUCUAGAAGUGUUAUGCCACACUCUGUAAGAUACCGUUAGAGUUAACAACAAAACAUAAACAAUGGAGCUGAUACAUUUCUACACGCAACUUAAAAUCGUAACGUUUGCUUAAAAGAAUCGGGCAGUAAAUACCGGUACAUUACAUGCAUACGUGUUCACUUGUGUACAAUAAUUAUACAUUGAUUGUACAAAACAUUAGGAGCACCUUCCUUAUAUUGAGUUGCACCCCCUUUUGCCUUCAGAACAGCCUCAAUUCGUUGGGGCAUUUAACUCUACAAGGUGUUGAAAGCAUUCCACAGGGAUGCUGGCCCAUGUUGACUCAUGCUUCCCACAGAUGUGUCAAGUUGGCUGGAUGUCAUUUGGAUGGUGGACCAUUCUUGAUACACACAAGAAAAAUUUGAGUGUGAAAAACCCAGCAGCGUUGCAGUUCACCCUCUGAAUGGCACACAUACGCAAUCAAUGUCUCAAUUGUCUCAAGGCUUAAAAAUCAUUCUUUAACCUGUCUUCUCCCCUUCAGCUACACUGAUUGAAGUGGAUUUAACAAGUGACAUCAAUAAGGGAUUAUAGCUUUCACCUGGGUUCACCUGGUCAGUCUAUGUCAUGGAAAGAGCAGGUGUUCCUAAUGUUUUGUACACUCAGUGUAUGUGUAUACUGGUAUCGUUAUUGUAUGUUAUCAGAAUGUUAGGGGACAGGGAAUCCCAAGAAAGAAAUGCAUACCUUAUAUUUUCUACAAUAUUUUAGUUGUAAAACGUAUUGAUCAACCAGGAAGUUACAAAGUGAUUAAAUGUAAUAAUAGGAUGGUGGAAUAUGAUUGUAUGUAAAUAUGUUGUCUAUGUAAUUAUAUUGUGGUCCUCUGUAGGUCAGUUGGUAGAGCAUUUGUCUUGCAAAGCCAGGAUAGUGGGUUCGAUUCCCAGGACCACCCAUACUAAAAACAUAUAUGCACGUAAGUCGCUUUAGCUAAAUGGCAUGAUAUAAGAGGACUCUUUUAUUAUCUAAGGAAGUCUGAUCUUGCACUGUAUUAUUUUAACCCAGUGCUUUCCCUGUUAUAGUGAAUGUUCUGAAUAUUUACUAUGCUUUGGAUCAAAUAAAGUAUUUCAUAUGAAAAAACUG
Oncorhynchus tshawytscha (Chinook salmon) is the source of this 2021-nucleotide long non-coding RNA. The record is from Ensembl. NCBI's taxonomy places the organism in Eukaryota, Metazoa, Chordata, Actinopteri, Salmoniformes, Salmonidae.